AUGCAAGUCGAACGGGAAACCUUUUAUUGAAGCUUCGGCAGAUUUAGCUGGUUUCUAGUGGCGGACGGGUGAGUAACGCGUGGGUAACCUGCCUUAUACAGGGGGAUAACAGUCAGAAAUGACUGCUAAUACCGCAUAAGCGCACAGGACCGCAUGGUCCGGUGUGAAAAACUCCGGUGGUAUAAGAUGGACCCGCGUUGGAUUAGCUAGUUGGUGGGGUAACGGCUCACCAAGGCGACGAUCCAUAGCCGGCCUGAGAGGGUGAACGGCCACAUUGGGACUGAGACACGGCCCAGACUCCUACGGGAGGCAGCAGUGGGGAAUAUUGCACAAUGGGGGAAACCCUGAUGCAGCGACGCCGCGUGAAGGAAGAAGUAUCUCGGUAUGUAAACUUCUAUCAGCAGGGAAGAUAGUGACGGUACCUGACUAAGAAGCCCCGGCUAACUACGUGCCAGCAGCCGCGGUAAUACGUAGGGGGCAAGCGUUAUCCGGAUUUACUGGGUGUAAAGGGAGCGUAGACGGACUGGCAAGUCUGAUGUGAAAGGCGGGGGCUCAACCCCUGGACUGCAUUGGAAACUGUUAGUCUUGAGUGCCGGAGAGGUAAGCGGAAUUCCUAGUGUAGCGGUGAAAUGC
RNAcentral lists this ribosomal RNA (633 nucleotides) under uncultured bacterium. RNAcentral's name for it is "bacterial SSU rRNA". It matches the Rfam family "Bacterial small subunit ribosomal RNA", at positions 55 to 689 of the family's 1533-position model. The record is from RNAcentral.